This 251-nucleotide ribosomal RNA is filed under the name uncultured prokaryote. RNAcentral's name for it is "partial 16S rRNA". It matches the Rfam family "Bacterial small subunit ribosomal RNA", at positions 525 to 775 of the family's 1533-position model. The record is from RNAcentral.
ACGUAGGGAGCAAGCGUUAUCCGGAUUUAUUGGGUGUAAAGGGUGCGUAGGCGGGAAGGCAAGUUGAAUGUGAAAUACCGGGGCUCAACUCCGGGGCUGCGUUCAAAACUGUUUUUCUUGAGUACAGCAGAGGCAAGCGGAAUUCCCAGUGUAGCGGUAAUAUGCGUAGAUAUUGGGAAGAACACCAGUGGCGAAGGCGGCUCUCUGGCCUAGAACUGACGCUGAAGCGCGAAAGCGUGGGGAGCAAACAG